UCAGCUCGUGUCGUGAAAUGUUGGGUUAAGUCCCGCAACGGUAGCCGACAACCCCUGUACCUUUAGUUGCCAUCAGGUUAGUGCUGGGGACUCUAGAGAGACUGCCGGUGACAAACCGGAGGAAGGUGGGGAUGACGUCAAGUCAUCAUGGCCCUUACGCCUAGGGCUACACACGUGCUACAAUGGUCGGUACAAAGGGCAGCAAUACCGUGAGGUGGAGCGAAUCCCAAAAAGCCGGCCUCAGUUCGGAUCGAAGUCUGCAACUCGACUUCGUGAAGUUGGAAUCGCUAGUAAUCGCGUAUCAGAACGACGCGGUGAAUACGUUCCCGGGCCUU
RNAcentral lists this ribosomal RNA (335 nucleotides) under uncultured Latescibacterota bacterium. Its description in RNAcentral is "bacterial SSU rRNA". It matches the Rfam family "Bacterial small subunit ribosomal RNA", at positions 1055 to 1382 of the family's 1533-position model. The record is from RNAcentral. Lineage: Bacteria; Pseudomonadati; Candidatus Latescibacterota.